Non-coding RNA from Podarcis lilfordi (Lilford's wall lizard), 255 nucleotides. The record is from the annotation of a GenBank genome assembly. NCBI's taxonomy places the organism in Eukaryota, Metazoa, Chordata, Lepidosauria, Squamata, Lacertidae.
CUUUUGCUUUUAUGCACUCGGGACUUGAGUGGUCUAUAAAUGGGACCUAAGAGUUCUGGUUUCCAGCAGGCCUACUUUGCUACAACUCUUAAAACACAUAUAAGGAGUUCUAUAUGGUGAUGCCAGGUUGAGCCACAUGGCCCAGUAGGUUGGAAUCCUUGAGGAAAGAGGUGGAACUCCAAAGAUGGCAGAAUUCAACCCCAAGUUCCUUGGAGGGAAGUCGCUAGAGCAGGGGUUGGGGAAAGCCUAUGGCCC